GACGUAGGGCGCGAGCGUUGUCCGGAUUUAUUGGGCGUAAAAGAGCUCGUAGGCGGCUUGUUGCGUCGACUGUGAAAAACCCGCGGCUUAACUGCGGGCUUGCAGUUUGAUACGGGCAGGCUAGAGUUCGGUAGGGGGAGACUGGAAUUCCUGGUGUAGCGGUGAAAAUGCGUUGAUAUCAGGAGGAACACCCCAUGGCGAAGGCAGCAAAACUGGGUCAUCAAACUGACGCUGAGGGCGCGAAAAAGCGUGGGGGGGAGCAAAAACAGGG
Molecule: ribosomal RNA, 271 nt
Filed under: uncultured bacterium
Lineage: Bacteria
Description: partial 16S ribosomal RNA
Rfam family: Bacterial small subunit ribosomal RNA
Source: RNAcentral